UGUAAACUUUCUUUGGUGAGCCGCUAG
This 27-nucleotide small RNA is filed under the name Bombyx mori (domestic silkworm). RNAcentral describes it as "ovarian small RNA-35277". The record is from RNAcentral. Lineage: Eukaryota; Metazoa; Arthropoda; Insecta; Lepidoptera; Bombycidae.